Molecule: ribosomal RNA, 301 nt
Filed under: uncultured bacterium
Lineage: Bacteria
Description: partial 16S ribosomal RNA
Rfam family: Bacterial small subunit ribosomal RNA
Source: RNAcentral
CAGCCGCCGCGGUAAUACGAAGGGUGCAAGCGUUACUCGGAAUUACUGGGCGUAAAGCGUGCGUAGGUGGUGGUUUAAGUCCGUUGUGAAAGGCCUGGGCUCAACCUGGGAAUUGCAGUGGAUACUGGGUCACUAGAGUGUGGUAGAGGAUAGUGGAAUUUCCGGUGUAGCAGUGAAAUGCGUAGAGAUCGGAAGGAACAUCUGUGGCGAAGGCGACUAUCUGGGCCAACACUGACACUGAGGCACGAAAGCGUGGGGAGCAAACAGGAUUAGAUACCCGCGUAGUCCCUGUCUCUUAUAC